This is a non-coding RNA of Phrynosoma platyrhinos (Desert horned lizard), 72 nucleotides long. NCBI's taxonomy places the organism in Eukaryota, Metazoa, Chordata, Lepidosauria, Squamata, Phrynosomatidae. The record is from the annotation of a GenBank genome assembly.
GCCAGCAUGGAGUAGUGGUUUGAGCAUUAAACUGUGACUCUGGAGACCAGGGUUGGAAUCCCAGCUCUGCCU